AGACAAAUGACAAGUUAUUGUGAAGCACACAGAGAAACAAUAAAAAAACGAUAUACAGCUGCCUUUAUGUUAGAUCACAGUAAAGGGGUUCCACAUAUAAAGCUUUUCAUUAUAUGGUGAAAGGUUUUUUUUGUCCAUUUUAACUGGAUUUUCUGUGCUAAUAUUUAUUUUUAAUUAACAGAAGUGGUAGUGCCUGUGUACUUAAGCAGCAACCAACCUUUCUCAGUUCUACAGCAUAUUUUAUUAUAUUUUUCUGCUUUUUAGAUUUUUAGUUUUAGAUUAAUCAUGGGACUUUUAUAAACAGCCUGUGUAAAAUUUUGUGACUAAAGCGUUCCAUCAAAAGACCAGCAAGAGCUCAAUCUACAUUUCACGUGUCAGGCUGCACAGCCUGUGUGGACACUUUUAUUGACUGAAACAGGAGCACAUCUUUCAAUCAAAUGCACCUGACAACUGAAAAAAAACCCCCAAUAACAACAAAAAAGCAGACAAACUAGGCUUUGUUUGUGGUUCCGUCUCACAACGUUCAUCAACCUUCUUUCAGAUCAUCAGGAUUAGUAUAAAUUAGUGUCCAGUUCAAGCCUUCACACAUAAGCCUAAGUUUGUCAUCCAGACAACUUCAAAAGCGAUCUGAUCUUACGUGAACCCAACCAGAGACUUACAUGCCCAAAGACCACUUAACGAAAAGCUUUAGGUUCAAACCAGUAGCUUUCAUUAAUAAUGUAAUUAAUAGCUGUGUGCUGUCUGCCACACAAACUAAAAUAAUUAGUUCAUAUGCUUCAAAAAGUUAUAUACAAAAAGUUAAAUCUUACUUCCACCUCCUACAACAAAAAACAUCAAUACAGGAAAUUAAUAAAGAAGAUUAUACUGCACAGAUUUUGGUCCAGUUGUAUUACAACGUGGGUAUGAACAGACUGAAAAAAACAAAGAACAAAACAAAAAACAUACCUGACCUGGGGCCUGUACUACUGUGAAGUGAACUGAACAUAUGCUGGGUACCUUUCCCUUAUCUGAAUUCAGUUACACCAACACUGGCAAUCAGAAGAAGCAGGCACAUGAAGCUGAUUAUCAGCUCCCUAAAUUAACCCGGGGUUUCCUUUGCGCAUUCACACAAAAGAGGUGACGCUGGAAGCAUCAGCCCAAUCACAUAUAUGAAUAAGUGCACUGGCAGCCUACGCUAUGGAAAACUAGUAAGAGGUCAAACACAUAAUACAGACUGAAAGUAGCACUGCUGCUGCAGACAAAGUCUGUAAAGUCUGAGAGCACAAACACUAAACAGUAUGAUAAAAAAAAACAAAAACUGAAGCGUUGUGUGUGUGGUUGAAAAGUUUUUGAUUAGUGAGACUGGAAAAGACCUCAGAUCAAUAAAAUGUAGCCUAUUUGAAACCUCGAAAGAAGUCUGGCAAAAGUGCAAACUUUGUACUGCAAGUAAAAAACAACAACUUUAUCUGAAAGACGCAAGAGAAUCUGACAGUAAAUUAAUGUUUAAAAUACAGUUUUAGUUUUUAUUUUUUCAAUUCAAGCACAGACUGUCUCCAAUUUGAUGUAAGGUCAGAAAGUACAUCAUUUAUUAAUGCAUACAAAAAGUAAAAUAGUUUAAAAGUAAUUGUUUGCAGCCACCAGGGAAAAAAUAAAGCCGCGUCUACGAAUCUGUAUUUAUUACUGAAGCUCAUCAUGGAAACACAAAAACUUUAGACAGUCCUACUAUCCACCAGCAAAAGUUCAAUCUUUCAUGAAUUUUGAUCAUAUUUUGAUUGAACUGACUGGCAAAUAGGUGUUAAUUUCACACAUGUUGAUCUCUAAUGUGCUUCAGAGCAGUAACCAGGGUGAUGCAAGCAAGUUGAAACCUGGUGAUCUUAAAAAAGACGCGAAAGAGAGAUAAAAUCUUUUUUUUUUUUUUUUGCCUGUCCCAUGUGGUUCUUUAGACGUCAGAAUUGUUGUCUAAAGACCAGCAAGGAUACCCAAUGGAUUUACUUAUUGGUCCAUUUGAUCGACAUUUGUUGUUAUUAUUUAUUUUAUUUUAUUUUCAGUUGUUACAGACGGGACAGACAUGACUCAGGGAUAGGAAAGGGAGAAAGAAAGAUGAAGGAAAAGAAAAACAGAAGGGAAGAGGGACAGUGAGAAAGGGCACUUAAAACGAGAAAGAAGAGAAAAAGAAAUCUCCUGGAUCACCUGUUGAGAGAAAAAGAAGAGAAAACAAGCCAAAAAAAAAAAACAGAGCAACAUACUAAACACAGCACCAUCACGUUAAUCUAGCUAAGUGUAAACAGCAGUAAAUACUAAAUAUUGAAUGUUGUUGUGUAGCAAGCAGGACCGACAGCGCACAAUGUGCUUGGAUAUAGCAGCCAAUAAAGGUUUGUGUCUAUGAACAGUGAACACCCGUGUGCACACCUGUGUGGAUCAGCGCGCUUGUAUUCAAAAGGUUUCCCCAUGUAAUGGUCUGCUAGAGGAUGUAGAGAGCCAUGGCUCUGUCCUCCAGGGCAUGAAGCAGGCAUGGAGGAGAUCCAGGCUCCAGACAUCCAGAGGCCCCAGAGUGCGAGAGCCCAAGGAGGACCACCGGAGGGGCAUCCGUGCCACCCUUCUG
Astatotilapia calliptera (eastern happy) is the source of this 2581-nucleotide long non-coding RNA. NCBI's taxonomy places the organism in Eukaryota, Metazoa, Chordata, Actinopteri, Cichliformes, Cichlidae. The record is from Ensembl.